RNAcentral lists this unclassified non-coding RNA (378 nucleotides) under uncultured Chloroflexota bacterium. RNAcentral describes it as "uncultured Chloroflexi bacterium contains 16S-23S intergenic spacer region". The record is from RNAcentral. Lineage: Bacteria; Bacillati; Chloroflexota.
UCCGGCUUAACGCCGGCAGUCUCCCUAGAGUGCCCAACUCAAUGGUGGCAACUAAGGACGAGGGUUGCGCUCGUUGCGGGACUUAACCCAACACCUCACGGCACGAGCUGACGACAGCCGUGCAGCACCUGUGCACGCUCCCUCGCGGGUCGUCACCCUUUCAGGCUCCUACCACGUGCAUGUCAAGCCCAGGUAAGGUUCUUCGCGUUGCGUCGAAUUAAACCACACGCUCCGCUGCUUGUGCGGGCCCCCGUCAAUUCCUUUGAGUUUUAGUCUUGCGGCCGUAGUCCCCAGGCGGCGGACUUAUCGCGUUGGCUGCGGCACCGGGGGGGUCGAUACCCCCGACACCUAGUCCGCAUCGUUUACAGCGUGGACUAC